GGCAAGAGCAUAGUGUGGGUAGGAGAGGAGGGUCCAGGGAGGAACAAAAGAAAGAGGAAAAGAAGGACUGAGGGGGCGGAGGAGGGAUUGAAGAAGCACAGAGCAUCUGGAGAGGAAUGAAGGGACUGAAAGGGAGGAGAAUACUGGAGUUGCGCAGGGACAAGGCAAUCUGUAUUACAGAGAGAAGCCAGUCAGAGGAGGAACUGGGAAAGGUGCGGGCUCAGGUUCACCUGGAGGAGUGUGUCAGUGGGUUAGAGGAGAAGUUGUGUCAGUCUCGUGAUUCCCAGAGCCACUGCUCCCAGCAGAAACAGACCAUAGCAGAGCUGCAGGCUCUCAGCAGACAGCAGAGCAUCAAGACAGACGGACUACGAUGCAGGAUAGAGGCGAUGCAGCAGUGCUGGUCAGUAACCACAGAGAGGCCAUCCUGGAUAAGGAGGAUGAGAUCUCGUCUCUGUUUGAGAACCUGAGGCUGAGAGAGGCAGCGAUUCAGAGCAUGAGAGAGGAUGAGGCCCAGAGAGCCAGCUAUACUCACAUACACUACAUGGCCAAAAAUGAGUCCUCCCUGUCUGAGACCAAGUCAAGACCGAGUAUCCGACACCGAGACAAGACCGAGUAUCCGACACCGAGACAAGACCGAGUAUCCGACACGAGACAAGACCGAGUAUCCGACACCGAGACAAGACCGAGACACUCAAUAUGUGGUCUUGAGACUACAGUCCUAAGAAAUGACCCGUAAUUUAUGACCUCUGACAUCAAAUAUUUGACCCUUCCCAUUAUCAUAUAGGGACUGAGUACAGGGGUCACCACUAGGGUACUACAGUCCCAAUAAAUAACAGGUCAACCCUGUCUCAUGUACCUCUCUCCUACAACCUUGUACCUAAACAUCCUCACUAAAGUGACCCAAACAUUUCUAUCCCACCCAUCCUCCAUGUAUUGUGUUCCUCUCCUGCCUAACCCUCUCUCCUCUUCAGUCCAUCCAAACCAACCCAGCAGAAUACAGUAUGUGGUCUUUCCCACUGUCUGCAGAGAACAAUGUUGACAAAAAUAUCAACAGCACAGAUAUUCAC
This 1067-nucleotide long non-coding RNA is filed under the name Salmo salar (Atlantic salmon). Its description in RNAcentral is "lncRNA (ENSSSAG00000109458.1)". Lineage: Eukaryota; Metazoa; Chordata; Actinopteri; Salmoniformes; Salmonidae. The record is from RNAcentral.